RNAcentral lists this ribosomal RNA (460 nucleotides) under uncultured bacterium. Its description in RNAcentral is "partial 16S ribosomal RNA". It matches the Rfam family "Bacterial small subunit ribosomal RNA", at positions 338 to 795 of the family's 1533-position model. The record is from RNAcentral.
CCUACGGGCGGCAGCAGUGAGGAAUAUUGGUCAAUGGGCGCGAGCCUGAACCAGCCAAGUCGCGUGAGGGAAGACGGUCCUAUGGAUUGUAAACCUCUUUUGUCGGGGAGCAAAAGACGCCACGCGUGGCGUUCCGAGAGUACCCGAAGAAAAAGCAUCGGCUAACUACGUGCCAGCAGCCGCGGUAAUACGGAGGGGGCGAGCGUUAUCCGGAUUCACUGGGUGUAAAGGGAGCGUAGACGGCCAUGCAAGCCAGGGGUGAAAGCCCGGGGCCCAACCCCGGGACUGCCCUUGGAACUGCAUGGCUGGAGUGCGGGAGGGGCAGGCGGAAUUCCUGGUGUAGCGGUGAAAUGCGUAGAUAUCAGGAGGAACACCGGCGGCGAAGGCGGCCUGCUGGACCGCGACUGACGUUGAGGCUCGAAAGCGUGGGGAGCGAACAGGAUUAGAUACCCGAGUAGUC